CGAGGGUGCAAGCGUUAUCCGGAAUCAUUGGGUUUAAAGGGUCCGUAGGCGGGUAAUUAAGUCAGAGGUGAAAUCCCACAGCUUAACUGUGGAACUGCCUUAGAUACUGGUUAUCUUGAGUUUUAGUGAAGUAGAUAGAAUGUGUAGUGUAGCGGUGAAAUGCAUAAAUAUUACACAGAAUACCGAUUGCGAAGGCAGUCUACUAACUAACAACUGACGCUAAUGGACGAAAGCGUGGGGAGCGAACAGGAUUAGAUACCCCAGUAGUCC
Molecule: ribosomal RNA, 270 nt
Filed under: uncultured archaeon
Lineage: Archaea
Description: partial 16S ribosomal RNA
Rfam family: Bacterial small subunit ribosomal RNA
Source: RNAcentral